This is a long non-coding RNA of Sapajus apella (tufted capuchin), 276 nucleotides long. RefSeq lists it as uncharacterized. The record is from RefSeq and is a predicted model, not a curated record. NCBI's taxonomy places the organism in Eukaryota, Metazoa, Chordata, Mammalia, Primates, Cebidae. The transcript has 2 exons.
GCCGCCCUGGGAGCUGUUCCUCCGCCGGCAGCAGAAGCGUCCAGCUCGGGUUUUAUUUUCUCCCGAGACACCCGAGGAAGCCUCAGAUGAGAAACUGAAGCACAGAAAGGUAAAGUACUUGCUCAAGAAAACAAAGCUCUUGAAUUGAGAUUCAGGAUCCAAAAUGUCCAAAUAGGAACAGCUCUGGAGUGCAGUUCCCAGUGAGAACACAGAGGGUAAGUGAUCACCAUAUUUCGAAAUGAGUUUUCACUGCCCACAGCCCAGGAGAUUCCUGGG